AUUGCGAUUAAGUAAUGAAGGGCGCACGGUGGAUGCCUUGGCACUAAGAGCCGA
Molecule: ribosomal RNA, 54 nt
Filed under: Salinicoccus hispanicus
Lineage: Bacteria; Bacillati; Bacillota; Bacilli; Caryophanales; Staphylococcaceae
Description: partial 23S ribosomal RNA
Source: RNAcentral